Portunus trituberculatus (swimming crab) is the source of this 1324-nucleotide long non-coding RNA. RefSeq lists it as uncharacterized. The transcript has 2 exons. NCBI's taxonomy places the organism in Eukaryota, Metazoa, Arthropoda, Malacostraca, Decapoda, Portunidae. The record is from RefSeq and is a predicted model, not a curated record.
CUUAUGGAAGAUAAUAAACUUAGCCGUGUGUAUAUUUGGUGGUGGAAUCUCGUUUUCUUUGAACACGAUGAUCAUCAUUGAAAUAAUGGGCACAGACAUGCUGCUGCCGGUAAUAGGGUUGUGCGGCAUGAUCAGCGCUGUGUGGCACCUUGCUAUGGGGCCUCUGCAAGGUGUGGUUACUGACACGUACGGGAGCUACAACGCCGGAUUGUUCUUUCUGGCUGGUCUUCACAUCUUCAGCCUCUUGCUGUGGGUUCUUAUGCCCAUUGCAGAUACUUAUUGCCAAAGGCGUCCCAGUCAUGCACAUCACCAAGAACACCAUUUUUCCCUAAAGCAGCUUGAGCAUGCAGCAGCAGCACCAGCACCAGCAGCAGCAGCAGCAGCAGCAGCAGCAGCAGCAGCAGCAGCAGCAGCAACAACAACAACAACAACAACAACAACAACAACAACAACAACAACAACAACAACAACAACAACAACAACAACAACGAGAGAAAAUUUCUCCCUUUUACACCGAGCAGAAACAUGCCCUGCUGGAUAUGCCUCUGUGGUGCAUUAAAAGAAAACACACACACACACACACACACACACACACACACACACACACACACAUAUGCGGCGUAAUAUAUUGCUUAGCACACUCGGUUCACAACCAAGGUUCGAGUCCCAGGCAAGACAAAUGGGUGAGCUUCUUAAAACAUAUAGCCCUUGUUCAUCUUGUAGCAAGUAGGUCCGGGAUGUAAAUCAAGGGAUUGUGACCUCGCUGUUCCAGUGUGUGGUGUCUCAGUCCUACCCGAAGAUCGGUCAGUAUGUGCUGUGAACUCUUUCCUUAGGCUUAGGGGAAAGACUGGCUGGGUGUCCAGCAGACAUCCGAGGUAAUCACACACACACACACACACACACACACACACACACACACACACACACACACACACACACACACACACACACACACACACACACACACACACACACUUGUACGUCAUGUAAAUACGCUGUAUAAUGAAUAUUCACCUGAUAGAAUUAUGACACCUGUAAAUGUAUACCAUACUUUUAUUUAUCGUUUUGACUUUGUUAGUCGUAUGAAUGACGCUUUCCUAAGGGUAAGCUCUGCGCAAUGCACUCAUUGAAGAAGACACUGUAUGAAGUGAAGGCACGACAGUCAAACAGGAUUGAGAGACGCACUCACUUAUCUAUACAAAAGACUGUGAUGAUCCUGUUUUGAAGACGAAUAUCCUUCAUUCAGGGGAACAGGCAGGACAUUUAGGUUCAUUAUGUGAACAAAAUAUUAAAUCCAUAUCACAGAUUCUGUAAUGGUUAUGAA